Molecule: ribosomal RNA, 492 nt
Filed under: uncultured bacterium
Lineage: Bacteria
Description: partial 16S ribosomal RNA
Rfam family: Bacterial small subunit ribosomal RNA
Source: RNAcentral
AGUGAACGCUGGCGGUAGGCCUAACGCAUGCAAGUCGAACGGCAGCACAGUAAGAGCUUGCUCUUACGGGUGGCGAGUGGCGGACGGGUGAGGAAUACAUCGGAAUCUACUUUUUCGUGGGGGAUAACGUAGGGAAACUUACGCUAAUACCGCAUACGACCUACGGGUGAAAGCAGGGGAUCUUCGGACCUUGCGCGAUUGAAUGAGCCGAUGUCGGAUUAGCUAGUUGGCGGGGUAAAGGCCCACCAAGGCGACGAUCCGUAGCUGGUCUGAGAGGAUGAUCAGCCACACUGGAACUGAGACACGGUCCAUACUCCUACGGGAGGCAGCAGUGGGGAAUAUUGGACAAUGGGCGCAAGCCUGAUCCAGCCAUACCGCGUGGGUGAAGAAGGCCUUCGGGUUGUAAAGCCCUUUUGUUGGGAAAGAAAAGCAGCAGGUUAAUACCCCGCUGUUCUGACGGUACCCAAAGAAUAAGCACCGGCUAACUUCGUG